ACUCGAGUGGCGAACGGGUGAGUAACACGUGGGUGAUCUGCCCUGCACUUCGGGAUAAGCCUGGGAAACUGGGUCUAAUACCGGAUAGGAGCCAUUUUUAGUGCGAUGGUUGGAAAGUUUUUCGGUGUAGGAUGAGCUCGCGGCCUAUCAGCUUGUUGGUGGGGUAAUGGCCUACCAAGGCGGCGACGGGUAGCCGGCCUGAGAGGGUGGACGGCCACAUUGGGACUGAGAUACGGCCCAG
RNAcentral lists this ribosomal RNA (241 nucleotides) under uncultured Actinomycetales bacterium. RNAcentral's name for it is "partial 16S ribosomal RNA". It matches the Rfam family "Bacterial small subunit ribosomal RNA", at positions 89 to 334 of the family's 1533-position model. The record is from RNAcentral. Lineage: Bacteria; Bacillati; Actinomycetota; Actinomycetes; Actinomycetales.